This 293-nucleotide long non-coding RNA is filed under the name Brassica napus (rape). RNAcentral's name for it is "long non-coding RNA (BNAP_LNC023499)". The record is from RNAcentral. Lineage: Eukaryota; Viridiplantae; Streptophyta; Magnoliopsida; Brassicales; Brassicaceae.
CCCUUUUCCCAAACAUACAAUUACACAAUCAUUCUCAAAUGUCAAACUCAACUCACAUCUCUCACCAAAAGAUCCUAAGAACAUUAACUCCUUCUCUUUGAAAUCUACAAGAGAUUUUUCACAACCUCAAAACAUUACUUAGCUCCUAACAACUUUGCUAGCCCCCUCUUUCUUUCUUUUUCUUUUCUUUUCAUAUUUUAUUUCUUUUUCUUUUUUUUUUUAAAUGGGGGCCAAGACUUUUCAUAACUUGAGGUAGAGGUUUUUCUACUUAUCCCAGUAAGACAAUUCACUUA